CUAAAUUGAACUUUAAUCACAUACAGGAGGCUCUUGCAGGGACUAGCAAGCUAUUAACAUAGCAGGGGAUAAGAAAAUCUUAAUUAAACAGAACUUGCAAUAAAGAAAGCCUAAAUAGGGCUCUCUUUACAGGAAGUGUUUAUGGAAGGCUGUGCAAGUCACAUGCAGGGAGGUGUGACUAGGGUUCAUAAACAAAGGGAUUUAACUCCUAAAUGGCAGAGGAUUGAGCAGUGAGGCUGCAGGGGCAUGUCCUAUACACCAAAACUUCUUUGUUAAGCUAAAGUUGUUCAGGUGACUAUAGUGUCCCUUUAAAC
This is a non-coding RNA of Pelobates cultripes (western spadefoot toad), 314 nucleotides long. Lineage: Eukaryota; Metazoa; Chordata; Amphibia; Anura; Pelobatidae. The record is from the annotation of a GenBank genome assembly.